AAAAGUCGUGUGCAAUGAAAAAUGCAAGCACAAUUUAGGGAGGGAGUUUUUAUUCUUUAACUUUUUUUUAUUUAAUUUAAUUUUGAUAAGGAAAUUAUCUACUCCAU
Gossypium arboreum is the source of this 107-nucleotide non-coding RNA. NCBI's taxonomy places the organism in Eukaryota, Viridiplantae, Streptophyta, Magnoliopsida, Malvales, Malvaceae. The record is from Rfam.